CCUACGGGGGGCAGCAGUGAGGAAUAUUGGUCAAUGGGCGCGAGCCUGAACCAGCCAAGUAGCGUGAAGGAUGACUGCCCUACGGGUUGUAAACUGCUUUUAUAAAGGAAUAAAGUGCGGCACGUGUGUCUGUUUGUAAGUAUCUUACGAAUAAGGAUCGGCUAACUCCGUGCCAGCAGCCGCGGUAAUACGGAGGAUCCGAGCGUUAUCCGGAUUUAUUGGGUUUAAAGGGUGCGUAGACGGUUUGUUAAGUUAGUGGUGAAAGGUUGAGGCUCAACCGCGAAAUUGCAUCUAAUACUGGUGGCCUAGAGAAUAGUUGCGGUAGGCGGAAUGUAUGGUGUAGCGGUGAAAUGCUUAGAGAUCAUACAGAACACCGAUUGCGAAGGCAGCCUACUAAACUACAUCUGACGUUGAGGCACGAAAGUGUGGGUAGCAAACAGGAUUAGAUACCCCGGUAGUC
Molecule: ribosomal RNA, 460 nt
Filed under: uncultured bacterium
Lineage: Bacteria
Description: partial 16S ribosomal RNA
Rfam family: Bacterial small subunit ribosomal RNA
Source: RNAcentral